This 116-nucleotide ribosomal RNA is filed under the name Candidatus Melainabacteria bacterium RIFCSPHIGHO2_02_FULL_34_12. The record is from RNAcentral. Lineage: Bacteria; Bacillati; Candidatus Melainabacteria.
CUUGGUGUGUAUGCGGCUGGAACACACCCGUUCCCAUUCCGAACACGACGGUAAAGACAGCUAGCAGUGACAAUAUUUAGAUAGAAAUGUCUUGAGAAGAUAACCAUGCGCCAGGG